Centruroides sculpturatus (bark scorpion) is the source of this 219-nucleotide long non-coding RNA. RefSeq lists it as uncharacterized. The transcript has 3 exons. Lineage: Eukaryota; Metazoa; Arthropoda; Arachnida; Scorpiones; Buthidae. The record is from RefSeq and is a predicted model, not a curated record.
UUAUGCAAUUUCAAUUUUGUAAAUUUCUUAAUACUAUUGAAAUAUUUUCUUUAGAGCUAAUUUGGAGGCUACAAAGGAAGGGAAUAAUAACAAUAGAAGCAUUUUUAAUACAAGCUUUAAAUCAAGCAAAUAUUUUGGCAUUGUUCAGUAGAUCUCUUGUUAAUUUAUGCUUAUUGAUGGAUGGUGAUGAAACAGAAAUAAAAUUAAGUAUAUUAACAG